CCUACGGGGUGCAGCAGUGAGGAAUAUUGGUCAAUGGACGAGAGUCUGAACCAGUCAAGUAGCGUGAAGGAUGACUGCCCUAUGGGUUGUAAACUUCUUUUAUAUGGGAAUAAAAUGUUCCACGUGUGGGAUUUUGUAUGUACCAUAUGAAUAAGGAUCGGCUAACUCCGUGCCAGCAGCCGCGGUAAUACGGAGGAUCCGAGCGUUAUCCGGAUUUAUUGGGUUUAAAGGGAGCGUAGGUGGAUUGUUAAGUCAGUUGUGAAAGUUUGCGGCUCAACCGUAAAAUUGCAGUUGAAACUGGCAGUCUUGAGUACAGUAGAGGUGGGCGGAAUUCGUGGUGUAGCGGUGAAAUGCUUAGAUAUCACGAAGAACUCCGAUUGCGAAGGCAGUUCACUGGACUGCAACUGACACUGAGGCUCGAAAGUGUGGGUAUCAAACAGGAUUAGAUACCCGGGUAGUC
Molecule: ribosomal RNA, 460 nt
Filed under: uncultured bacterium
Lineage: Bacteria
Description: partial 16S ribosomal RNA
Rfam family: Bacterial small subunit ribosomal RNA
Source: RNAcentral